RNAcentral lists this ribosomal RNA (1020 nucleotides) under Colletotrichum truncatum. RNAcentral's name for it is "SSU rRNA". It matches the Rfam family "Eukaryotic small subunit ribosomal RNA", at positions 75 to 1105 of the family's 1831-position model. Lineage: Eukaryota; Fungi; Ascomycota; Sordariomycetes; Glomerellales; Glomerellaceae. The record is from RNAcentral.
UAUACAGCGAAACUGCGAAUGGCUCAUUAUAUAAGUUAUCGUUUAUUUGAUAGUACCUUACUACUUGGAUAACCGUGGUAAUUCUAGAGCUAAUACAUGCUAAAAAUCCCGACUUCGGAAGGGAUGUAUUUAUUAGAUUAAAAACCAAUGCCCUUCGGGGCUCACUGGUGAUUCAUAAUAACUUCUCGAAUCGCAUGGCCUUGCGCCGGCGAUGGUUCAUUCAAAUUUCUUCCCUAUCAACUUUCGAUGCUAGAGUAGUGUUCUAGCAUGGUUACAACGGGUAACGGAGGGUUAGGGCUCGACCCCGGAGAAGGAGCCUGAGAAACGGCUACUACAUCCAAGGAAGGCAGCAGGCGCGCAAAUUACCCAAUCCCGACUCGGGGAGGUAGUGACGAUAAAUACUGAUACAGGGCUCUUUUGGGUCUUGUAAUUGGAAUGAGUACAAUUUAAAUCCCUUAACGAGGAACAAUUGGAGGGCAAGUCUGGUGCCAGCAGCCGCGGUAAUUCCAGCUCCAAUAGCGUAUAUUAAAGUUGUUGUGGUUAAAAAGCUCGUAGUAGAACCUUGGGCCUGGCUGGCCGGUCCGCCUCACCGCGUGCACUGGUCCGGCCGGGCCUUUCCCUCUGUGGAACCGCAUGCCCUUCACUGGGUGUGCCGGGGAAACAGGACUUUUACUUUGAAAAAAUUAGAGUGCUCCAGGCAGGCCUAUGCUCGAAUACAUUAGCAUGGAAUAAUAGAAUAGGACGUGUGGUUCUAUUUUGUUGGUUUCUAGGACCGCCGUAAUGAUUAAUAGGGACAGUCGGGGGCAUCAGUAUUCAAUUGUCAGAGGUGAAAUUCUUGGAUUUAUUGAAGACUAACUACUGCGAAAGCAUUUGCCAAGGAUGUUUUCAUUUAUCAGGAACGAAAGUUAGGGGAUCGAAGACGAUCAGAUACCGUCGUAGUCUUAACCAUAAACUAUGCCGACUAGGGAUCGGACGAUGUUAUUUUUUGACUCGUUCGGCACCUUACGAGAAAUCAAAGUG